RNAcentral lists this ribosomal RNA (250 nucleotides) under uncultured bacterium. RNAcentral's name for it is "partial 16S ribosomal RNA". It matches the Rfam family "Bacterial small subunit ribosomal RNA", at positions 104 to 354 of the family's 1533-position model. The record is from RNAcentral.
UGGUGAGUAACACGUGAGGAACCUGCCUUCCAGAGGGGGACAACAGUUGGAAACGACUGCCAAUACCGCAUGAAACAUUUGAACCGCAUGGUUUGAAUGUCAAAGAUUUAUCGCUGGAAGAUGGCCUCGCGUCUGAUUAGCUAGUAGGCGGGGUAACGGCCCACCAAGGCGACGAUCAGUAGCCGGACUGAGAGGUUGGCCGGCCACAUUGGGACUGAGACACGGCCCAGACUCCUACGGGAGGCAGCAG